AAAAUUUUUUGAAUAGAUCUACCAUUGUAUCGGAGACAGUCGUGUUUAAUCAAGAAGUAACUUUAAAAAAAUGAUAACUCGAUUGAAUAUAGAAAAUUAUAAGUUAUAUUGGAGAUGAAGAAAGUUGACUAUGUGUUAUUUAUAAAAUUUUGCAGGAAAACCCAUGUGUUUUUCCGCGAUCUAUUUUUGAACAGUGGAAACCCAACUAUUACAUGAUGCUUGGAUCCCAUGACACCACAUCAACACUGUAGAGCAUUGUGUUACAGGUUCAAAUCAUUAUGGCGAGUCUGGCUGAUGUUUUCACUGAGAAAGAAAGGACGAACUGGCUGAAGGCAUGGCUUGCAGUGGAUAUUGCAAAGUCUGGAUUAGAUAACUUCGCGGAGACCGAGGCUAAAACUUUACAUGCGAAUAUAUACAACGCGGCCUGGUCAAGUGUUCAAGCACCAGCUGUGUGCAUUGGCUGUCACACCGCUAACUUACUGAAAUGCCCAACUCAAGGAAUAUGCAAUAAACGAGGCGCAAAUAGCUCAUGUAAGGCUAUGCAUGAUACCGCGGCAAAACAACCUCGACCAUGCCCUACUAACGUGUGUAAUAAAGUUCUCGACGAAAUAAAAACACUGCACAAAUUUGCUAGUCCUUCGUGGAAAAAUACAAGGGCGCAGCAAUGGGCACAAAAUCCCUGGCAAAUUGCAAAGGCGUAUUUACCUCCGGACGGAUAUACUGGAAAGAGUUCGGUGCAAGACACGGACUUUAACGGAAUCAUCAGUUUUAUGAUGAAUUGUAAACAUUUCGACAGCAAGUUUUCGUUCCCCAUAGCUCCAGAAAAAAACAAUCCUCCGUGUUUACUGACAAAGGCGCGUGAGAUUGGCAGGACUGUUCGUCACUCGUCUCAGUGUAAGCUUACAGACGCAGAUCUCCAGGUCAUCUUCACAACACUGACUAACCUGCUGAAUGACCCAACGUGUCUUGCACAUGACGUCGCAUCACAGGAGGCUGUAAACAAAUUAGCAAAGCUACAAAACGACAGAUUGAAGAUAACCACAGAAGAAAUGAUGCAUUUACUAGGCGCUGUCGAAGAGAAACUGAAGGAAGUUGACAACUUAGCUGAGAAGACUCUUCACGAGAUAAGGGAGUCCAUUCAACGAUAUAUGAAUGAUCUCAGGGAGCACAAGGACACAUGUAAACAGCAACUUGAUGAGCACACUGAAACAGGUGAAAUGAAACUGGAUGAACACACUGAAAAAUGUGAAAUGAAACUUGAUGAGCACACUGGAGCAUGUGAAAUGAAACUGGAUAAACACACAGAAACAUGUGAAGUGAAACUGGAUGAACACACUGAAAAAUGUGAAAUGAAACUUGAUGAGCACACUGGAGCAUGUGAAAUGAAACUGGAUAAACACACUGAAACAUGUGAAGUGAAACUCGAUGAACACACUGAAAAAUGUGAAGAUAAACUGGAUGAACACACUGAACAACUUAAAAUUGCACUUGAUAAACAUUCUCGACACCAUGCCGAAUCAAACUAUGAGCAAUCCUGUGAAGAUCUCCGUCGACGUUUGAUUGAACAUUACAAUGACAACUCUAGCUUUGUGCCUCUUUCAAUUUUGAAUGAGAGUCUUGAUAAGCGUAUAACAGACAUAUAUGCAUCGCCUAAAAUACAUCGAAUCGAUAUUAAGAAAGAUGGAUCACGCAAAAUAGAGGAACCAGUAAAUUUUUACAAAGAAAUGUUUUACAAACACGAUCAUUCAAAUAGACGCAUUUAUGUACAAGGCGAACCCGGCUCAGGAAAGUCAACUUUUGCAGCUAAGUUAGUUCAUGAUUGGUGCCAUAAAUAUCAGCCUUUAUUGACUGUUCCGAAUAAAAAUACAGCGUUUAAUGACUUGAUGACAAUUCAAACAUUCAAGUUCCUAUUUUUCAUCUCGUUGAGAAAUGUGCGGGGACAGAAGGAUAUAAGUCAGAUGAUUAAAGACCAGCUCGUUGAUCAAAUGUACUCUGAAGAUGAUCUUGACGGUGUGUACACACUUUUAAAAACAAUUAUACAAACUGAACAAUGCCUCGUAGUUCGAGAUGGCCUUGAUGAAUGGAUGGCUCCUGAUGGUUGUAACCUAGCUGAACCUUCUAUGACAGGAUUGCGGAAGGACAAAGUCACGGUUCUCACAACAACGCGACCAUGGAAACUGGCUGAUGGACGAAUCAAGAAUUCUCAAAUCGACAUUCUGAUGGAGAUUCAGGGUGUAAGCGAUCCGGAUAUAUUUUGUGCAAAUAUACUCGGUUGCAUAAUUGACGACACUAAGGAUCUGGACAACACUGUCAAGGAAUUUCAAAAUUUUGUUGAAAAACGGGAGCUUAAAACGUUAUCAUCCUCGCCGAUGUUGUACACACUGGUCAUCUGCACGUGGGUCGACACGAUGAAAGAGGAGGAACAUUCGAAAGAAUAUUCCUUAUGUGCAUUAUACACUACUUUGCUUGAAAGUCUUUGUAAAAAGACCACCAGUAAAACUGGUUAUUUUAAUAAUUCAAACCCUUCACCUGUAGAUUGUUUUUCUAACACAAGUUACCUACAGCCAAACAUUGAACUCUUAGAUAAGCUUGCUGUUGCAGCUUGUAAAUUGCUCUUCUCAUGUGAAAAAGAAACAUCUAUUGUUUUUAGUGACAUAGCAUUAUCGAACUACUUUUCUGGGGAAGAGUUCACACUAUGUAAGACAUUCGCUCUUAAGGCAGGAAUAUUAACUAACAGGAAAGAUAAAAAUAGGACUGGAAGCUCGAACUCAUUCAUUCACAAAACUAUUCAGGAAUUUCUCGCAGCAUAUUAUAUUGCAUGCAAUACAUGCGUCAUUGAUGACGUUGUGGUCGGAUAUCUGACACGUUACAAUGAUUCUUAUCAUGAUUUAUCUCAAGUGUUCAUAUUCCUGUGUGGGAUGAACACCAUUGCUGCGAAUGCAUUGUCAGGUUUGAUGGACGAAUAUCACGUUGCUCGUUGCAGAAAUUACUACGAUUGGCCUUGUGAGCUUCAGAAAAUCACUGAGGCUGGAAUCAGAGAGGCAGAAGCCGGCAAACAAAAUACCAUAUGGCCGAAACUCAGCCACGUUUUCAUUAAUCUCAACCACAUGCGACAUUCACAUCGUGUCUUUUCUGCAACCGCCUCAAAUAUCCAGGCAUUCAUUAUCGACAUUUAUAGCGUACCGGAUUUAGAAAAGCUGCUUUCAUUCGCACGUGGCGAGCCUAAAUCUCAUUUUGUGUUUAACCUGGCGUCGUGCCACAAGCUGAAAAAACUGCGUCUAGAGGGAGAUGGCAUAUAUCUUACAGAUUCUGCCGAUUUGGUAACAUCAGAACUUCCGGUCGUGAUUGUUCUCAACCAUGCAGAGCCAGCUCGGUGUGGAGAUCUUCCUCCAGUCCUGCCCUCAAUACAAUACAUUCACUUGUGGGAGGUCAAAUGUUCCAGUUCCUGGCUACGCAGUCUGUUCAGCACGCUUCUGACACUCGAUCAUGAGGUGCAGUGUAUCAUAAGUUGCUGUUAUAUUACAUCGACUGCAGAGGGCUCUGUCAGAGAAUCAACCAAACCAAUAUCGACAAAUAUAAGGACGGGUUUUAACAAUACGUUCUACGUGCAACUUUCUAAGUACUCUUUGUAUUUAAGGAAGCCUCUACAUGGUUUUGGGGAGGCUCUACAUGGUCUGAAUAUCAAAUGGCUGCGUAUCAAUGUGGAAUACGCGAUAGCGAACCGUUCAAACUUUGUAGUUUUCUUAUAUAAGUCACUUCCAUCACUCUCAUCACUGGAGACACUUGAUGUAUGCGUGAACGAUAUCAGUCCCGAUUUGUGUGAGGAUCUGCACAGUCUGAAUAUCAAGAGUGUGACUCUGAGUCAGAGGGGUAGAUGGAGGGGCUUGAUAGUAAAUGAUGUAUCACAGUUAUCACAGGUUCUCAUAUCGCCCACACAGACGGAAGCUAUUAUUAUUGACGUGAAUGCCCAUCCAGAUCUGUUAGAGGCCCUGUGUGGUCGGAAUAUAAAUAGUCUCUGUCUAUAUGGAAGUGGAGAACAUUUGGAAGUGAAUAAUGUAUCGGCGUUAUGUAGGUCCCUCUCGUCUCUCAAACAGCUUGAUAAGCUUGAUGUUAUCGUCAACAAUGACUGUCCUGGUCUGUGGCAGGCCCUCCAUGGUUUGAGUAUCAAGAGUCUUAGUCUGAGUGGUGGAGAAACUGGUUUGAAAGUGAAUCAUGUAUCGGCGUUAGCACAAUUACUGGCAUCGCUCAUACACCUAGAAACGCUUAGUAUUAAAGUCUCUGAAUACAAUCUCUUUAAAUACACUCCCUGUCUAUGGGAGGCUAUCCAUGGUCUGAAUAUUAAGUGUUUGAGUCUUUGUUACUUAGGUCAAUUGGAUCACAUAUCGUCGUUAUCGCAGUCACUAGCAUCGCUCACAAAUCUGGAAACGCUUUGUGUAAAAUCCCCUUGUGGAGGCGUUCCCCGUCUAUUGGAGACUGUCUGUGGUCUGAAUAUUACAUGCUUAAGUAUUGAAGCGAGUAAUACCUGCCAACAACUAUGGGAGGCUCUCAUAGGUCUGAAUAUCCAGAGUCUGAGUAUGAGUGGUUUUCUUCUUACGCUGGAAAAUGCAUCGCUCUCACAAUUGCAAAUGCUUACACUAUAUGCAAGUCAUUUUAACGACAUACAGCUACCUCAAUCAUUGAAGUAUUUAAAUAUCUACUCUUGUGGUGAAUAUAAAUUCCCAUUAAGCAAUAUUAUGGACACACUGUCUGCAUGUACUCAGAGAAUUGAGAUUAAACUUGAAUGCGGUGUCAACUUUGAUUCAAUAGAGAAAUACAAAACAGAAAUGGAGACGCUGAAAAAUGUCAAGAUGACACGAUUUAUGAUAUAUACCUGGAAACCCUCAAUAGAAAAUGGUUCUGACUGGUGUGUUCAGAAAGUUGUUGUUGGUGUUGAUGGUAAUCAUGAUGAUGAUAUUGGUGAUGAUAAGCUAUAUAAACAAUUCAUAGACGAUGUGGCUGAUUUGCAUCGUAUUUCUGUGAGAUUUCGGAUUAAUUAAGAUUCAGUUUCGAUCUUACAUGAACAAAAAUAGUUCUUAAUAAAUUCGUCUGAAUUUCUUACCUAUCAUGUUACCAUUAUUUUCAAUGUCCAGACGUGUUCCGGGUUGCUGCGUUACGAGAGCGAUUGAAUCUUACUCGAACGUUUAUUUGUUGUACUACUACAAUUAACAUUUAUGCUUUUUAAGUGUUUAGUGUCUGUAUUUUGUUAUAAUGAAUUGCUUUAUUGUUCAAAAGUUUAUAAAUGUGUAUUGUUGCUGUAUGAUAAUUGCAAUAUCUCACCAAAGCAAAUAGUGCUCAUGGGGAGCUUUUGAGAAACCUUUUUUUCGUCGUCCGUCAGUCUGUGCUUGCGUUCCUUACUGAACCUAGAGAUUUAUCCUUCUUGGCAGAUUUUAAGGGUACUUUUCAGAAAUUAUCACAGGGCCUUAUUCUUUCAUCUUUUUUUCUGAACGUUUUAGUCUGUUGAAUAAGUACAAAGUAUCAAAGGAGCUAAAAUAGAUUUUUGAAAUGAAAACUUCACAAAUCUUCUCUGAAAACACAAGGGCCAGGGGUUUAAUAUUUUGCGUGAAACAUCAUGCGUUGUUCCUUUUCAAAUGUGUUCAAAUCUUGCCCCUUUGGACCAAAACUUGCCACUUCACAUGAUUAAUAUAGCUUGAAUAAAUAUUUACUUUAAAGGGACUGUCAACCGCGAUUGACGAAAAAAUCAAAGUUCUUAAAUACCGUAUUAUUUACAUUUAUUAUUUUAUAUUGAUUAAAAUAUUACGACUGGUACAUUACUUGAAACAAGUUCAUAUUUUCAGUAUAUUCGGUAAUAAAAUUUCGCGAUGUGAGAUCAAACGUACAUCGCGAAAAUAGGUGACAUAACGAUAUACACACUAUAAAUAUCGCAAGUAAAUUGAUCAUUUUACAUAUAAAAUACCGGUAUAUACAAUUCACUACGCGUGCACAAUUUGCUUUCCUGUGUUAACCACGUGACGAUGAUGAUCAAUCUGCUUGCGUUAUUUAUAGUUAACUGGUAGUUACCUGGUACCUGUACCCAGUAAAAUUUAUUACCGAAUAUACUGAAAAUAUGAAAUUUUAACAACCUUUUUCAAGUAAUGUUAUAUACCAGUCGUUAUAUUUUAGUCAAUAUAAACUAAUAAUUAUAAAAAAUACACUAUCUUAGAACUUUUCUUGUUGCGUCAAUCGCGGUUGACGGUCCAUUUAAAACUCUUCUUCUAUGAAACUGCAAGGUUCAUGGAUUUAAUAUUUAGUGUGUAACAUUGUGUUGCGGUCCUCAUCAAGUGAUGUUCGAAUAAUGUGCCAGAAAAAAAACCGCGCCGCACUAGUGGUUUACUGGUUUACCUAAUAUGUGUAAAAUUAAUUCUUUAAAACUCUUAUCGUCUGCAACCACAAGAUUUUAAGGUUUGUUAAUUGGUAGUUCACAUUUUAUAAUGAUCCUCUGCAUCUCUGCUAAGUUUGUGUUAAUUAUAACCCUGUGUUAAAGACAAGCUUUGUUAUAUGAACAUAAAUAAUGAAUAACGUAAAACAUCAUCUCUGAAACCGGAAGGGUCAGGGUUUUUAGAUAUUGUUUAAUAUUGAAUAGUUAUCAAAUACUAAGUUUGUUCAAAUCAUGUGGCCAAAAUUAACCACAUUCCAGGGGUCACAUGAUUUAUAUAGACUUUUAAGUUAACAACUUAAAAAAAUAUUAUCUGAAACUCCAAGGGUAUGGGGUUUGAUAUUUCGUGUGCGACAUUGAUUGGCGGGUAUGGGGUUUGAUAUUUGGUGUGCGACAUUCAUUGGCGGUCCGUUAAUAAGUUUGUUAAAAUCAUGACCCUGGGGUAACAAUCUAGCUCACCCUAUAAGCUACUUGUUUAUCAGUAUAUUAUUAUUAAUAAAAACGGUAAUGUGUUAUUACAUCGUCUAUGGCAAUAUCAAAGGUGUGUCAUACAGAGUACAAAACCUCUGGUUAAGCCACAGUUAUUACUAAAACAUCACAAAGUUCGCACAUUACAUAUUUUAUUUACAUAUUUCAUGAGAUUGACCGAAGGCUGUUGUGCCAUCUUGUCUAAAUAUAACGUUGGUAGAACCGUUGUCGUGUUUUAGUCCCUGCUGGAGUGGAUUAUAGGUUUACCCCCUGGUCGUCCGUCUGUCCCAUCUGAAAACAAGCUGGAUCCUGCAAUAACUCAACAAUUACUUAAUCUAUGUUUAUUAAAAUAAGAAUAUGGAUAGGGGACCGUAUGGUUUAUAUGCACAUUAUUUCGUCAUGUUUUUCGUGAUUUCUAUGGUUGCAGACAUAAUUUAAGACUUAUGUCGAGAAAUUGUCAUGAGAUUAACAUACUUUAGUUAGUUUAAUGAACCUUAUGGAGAUUCUGUUCUAACUCUCUUGAUAGAGCACUAUAUGAUGUCUUUGGCAAAGCUUUUGUUUAAAUUGUUUUGUUUGCGUACAUUUGAUCAUAAUGCUAAAGAUGUUAUAAUGUUUACGUGAUGAUUAGUUGAUGAUGGUGAUUCUAAUGUUGAAUGAGAAGAUGAUAAUGAGGAAUGUUAUAUAGGAGAGUGAAAUAAUUAACACGUGCAUUUAAAUGAGAGUACUGUUGUGCCAUAAUUUAAUUAAAUUCGUAACCAAGAGCAUUAUUUUAAACUAUAACAAAAUGUAUGUGAACCACAGUAUUUGUAUAGUCAAUGUUUAUGCUUAAGAACAUUACUACAAAAUAGACAAUUUACUGAACGUUUGUAGACCAUGUCCUCUCAAACAUAUUAAAUAACAAAUACUGAUCUCUGUUAAUAUAUUGUUAUUACUAGUCAAGUAUAACCAACUUUAUUUGAUAUGUUAAGUGACUUAUAUGUACGGAAUUUAUUGUAUACUCGUACGUCUUCCAUAGGAAUGUGCCCUAUCGUUUUGUAGGCCUGGAAUAAAUUAACAUCAAUACUUUCUGAGCAAUGAUUUUUAUUCGUGCUGAACCUUACAUAUUUAAUAUGUUAGGCAUUAACCUGUCGUGUUUUCAUCAUACCUGCAUGCCCCCAUUCUCUCUCAAAUACUAAAUUAUAAUCGAGUUAUCACUGAAACGCAUUUUUCACAGGAAUGCACAUGUUUACGACAUUUCACAUGUAAAUCAUGAGCACUUUCACUUAAUAUUUGAAACAUAUGUUGUUUUGCAGUUUUGUUGCUUUUGUAUUAAAAUGAAUUUCAGAU
This is an RNA transcript of Dreissena polymorpha, 8206 nucleotides long. RefSeq lists it as uncharacterized. The transcript is spliced from 7 exons. NCBI's taxonomy places the organism in Eukaryota, Metazoa, Mollusca, Bivalvia, Myida, Dreissenidae. The record is from RefSeq and is a predicted model, not a curated record.